Molecule: unclassified non-coding RNA, 232 nt
Filed under: Hevea brasiliensis (rubber tree)
Lineage: Eukaryota; Viridiplantae; Streptophyta; Magnoliopsida; Malpighiales; Euphorbiaceae
Source: RNAcentral
UUAAGAACAUACUCAAUAUUGGUACAUGGAGAAGAGGAGAAUCGAACCGAGACUGGCCUCAGGUUUAUUUUGCCCUUGUCACUGGACUAAAGCCAAGCGGGCUAUUAUUAGGUCUCUAUAUCCCACAACAGAUGUAGAGCAUAUGCAUAUGAGAUAUAAGUCUUGCUCAACAAUAACUUUUCAGAUAGUUUUUUAGAUAGUAUUUAUUAUUUUAACCUUAUCUCUCUUAUUU